RNAcentral lists this unclassified non-coding RNA (223 nucleotides) under uncultured fungus. RNAcentral describes it as "sequence contains ITS1, 5.8S rRNA gene". The stretch from base 175 to 223 matches the Rfam family "5.8S ribosomal RNA", at positions 1 to 49 of the family's 154-position model. The record is from RNAcentral. Lineage: Eukaryota; Fungi.
UUUCCGUAGGUGAACCAGCGGAGGGAUCAUUACUGAGUUUACAACUCCCAAACCCUUUGUGAACAUACCUUUUUGUUGCUUCGGCGGGCCUCUGAGAUUCGUCUCACGUCCGCCGGCGGCCCAUUAAACUCUGUUACUUUCAAGCAAUCUGAGUCUUUUAUAAAAUAAAGUCAAAACUUUCAACAACGGAUCUCUUGGUUCUGGCAUCGAUGAAGAACGCAGC